CAGCGGUGCGGAAGCUCCGCCACAGCGGCGCCCCCAGCGCGGCGGAGCGGGAACUACUGACGGAGCUAGAACGUCACCGGCACCUCGGCGCGCGCUUACAGGACCACGUGGCGCAACUCCGCGCGCACUCCGCUAGGAAGGCGGCCGAGCUCCAGAAAUGGAGGGACGAGUACAAGAAGAAAGACAUAGCCCUCGGCAAAUCCCACAGCGACGCCAUCUCCUCAAUCCUCCGCCAGCAGACCACCCAAAUAUCAACGCUGAUCGAAGAGGCCAAACUGAUAAAGGACCAACUCAGCAUCGUCUAAAUUAUUUGUUAUUAGCAUUUGUUUUUUAUAUUACCUUUUAUUUAAGUCAGUACAAGUAAAUUAUGUCUCGUAUGAUUGUUUAUGAAUAUUUUUCAGCUGAUUUCAUCUUUAUUUCAAAAGCAAAAGGCUCAAAAUGUAUCGUGGUCGUUGUGUAAAGUAAGUUUGAAAGUAAGAAUGAAAGAAGACUUGAAAAAUACAGGGAGUGCGACUGAGAGGGACAAGUAAGCAACAACCAAAACAAUUCUUCCGUAAACGCUUAUAGGUCGCUCAACAAGAGUUGAGGCUAUCAACACUAGCAAAGAUUUGUAUCUGUAUACGCUCGUGUUCCGUAGUGACACUGACAAGUACAUUCUGUCCCGCUUGCAGACAUGCGAGAUAACUAAUGUAUUUGAUAUAAUUUGGAAUCGAAUAUGUAAUUUCUUGUUUUUGUUCUGUAUUCAAAUAUAAUAAAAAUAAAUAAAAUAAAAUAAAUAUCCUUGGACAUUUUACACUGCGCUGCUAGUCCCAAACUAAGCAAAGCUUGUACUAUGGGCACUAGACAACGGAUAUACACAUACUUAAAUACUUUUACUUUGUAAAUACAUACAUAUUAUACAUAGAAAACACCCAGACCCGUCACAGAAAUUAAAAUUCAUCAUUUCAAUUUCUGCCCGGUCGGGAAUCGAACCUGGGACCUCUCGGCAUAGUAGUCCGUUCUGAACCACUACACCAAACGGCUGACAAUAUUACAUCAAUGUGAGUAGUGUUAGCUUCAACUUUCGUUGAGCGACCUAUACUUCUGACAGAUUGUCAAUGUCAGCAGAUCAAGGUAAACUGUAGCACCUUGUUAUAAAUGCGAUUUUGCAAGAAAACUUAAUCUGAUGUGCCCUUCUGUAUUUUAUUAUGGAUUGGGUAUGAUGUGAAUUCAUGGUUUAAAUGCUAUAACCUGUCCCUCAUAGUAGGUAGGUAGGAAAAGUAGAAAACUUUCCAUAGGGUAGGGCAAAUGUUGAAAGUUUUCAUUGGUUUCCGAUCUUAUGAUGAGUGAGUUUAGCUGGCAAUAUAAGGGACCCUGUAAAAGGUUAAAGGAAAGACAUAUUACAUGAGUCUCUCAGCAUAUUACAUGAGUCACUCACUUAUUUUGACUAUGUUUUAUGCCCGAAGGAAUCAUUGGAGUUUUCGAAUGAGUAUUUUUUUCUUUAUCUUCUCAACCUUAAUUUAUAAGUGUUAUAAAAUGAUGAUUGUGUUGGAGAUAUAAUGGUUUGUAGGUCUUGAUGUUGUAGUAUACUAAUUGUGUAACAAAUAUUUUUCCGUUAAAAUAUUCCUUAGUUAGGCCAUCCAAUGUGCCAAUACAUGAAAUCUGGAUGUUUAGAUUAGAAGAAAGUAUUGUAAACUGUCCAUAGAGAAAGUAAUACUUAGGUUUUUUUAUUAUCAGAAUAGCAGACUUUUCAGUUGUCAUAUUACAUUAAUCAGUAAAAACAUAUUUGACAUCUCAAUGUAUCAAUAGAUUGCCAGUAAAUCAACUCGUCUUAUAAUAAGUAAGUACUUAAAAAGUCAUAUAAAAUAAUGUAUGAUUUGUUACAGUGCGAGAAUGAGUGAAAUGAAGUGUGAAAAGAAUGUGUAUUAUAAAAUACGUGAGUGCGACUGAUGAAGAGAUGGGUAACUUUAAAAUUCCUUAAACCAACUCGGUAACUGCCGUUGCGUUAUUAACCGUAAUAAGCAUCCUUUCCUGAUUCUACGUGUCAAACCUUUCUUGUGCUCAAGACAUUUGAAGAACAUUUUCAAGACAUUUUUAGUUAUGAAUUAACUAAGUAUACUCAGUACACCCUGUAUACCCAGUACAAUGAGUAAAGCCUUGAUCACACGUACCGUGUAAACGGUCGAAACAGUUGGGUGAGCGAGUCACAUACUCGAGCGCUCGGCCGAGCACUCGGCGUAAUGUUCAUACACACCGAGUACUCGGCCGAGAGCAAACAUUUAAAAUGUUUACUCGGUCGAGACUCGAGACAGUGAUGUAAACGAGUAGCUGUUCACACGUGUUCUGAAAUUAGCACAGUCAGUUCAGUUCUAUUGAGACUUUUCUUUUUCUCUAAUCGGUGGACGUGACGUCAAUCAUUUGGCCGAGUGGCGAGACAGUGCACGUUCAGACCUGCCGAGCGAGCGAGCGAGACAGUGCGAGGCAGCGGGAGGGUGGAUACUCGGCCUAGUAAGUUGAACGGGGGUCGUGGUACUGUCUCGCCCGAUUACUCGGUACGUGUGAUCAAGGCUUUUUGCUUGUGUCUUACCAUUUAGGGAGUUGAAGGCGUGGUCUGGCAUGGUCAUACUGCUCUUUUUAGCAGCAAUGGAGAAGUUUCGUGAUGUUGAAAACAUAUUCACUGAAUGGGAUUAAAAUGUAGACCAAAACUAAAACGCCGGUGAAGGUUUUUUAGAAAUCCAUCAAGAAAUGGUUGAGAAAUUAAUUAUUUAAAUUACCUACAUAUUUUCGCGUGGAACUUAAAUGCGGUGCCGUGUCGUCAGAUCACCUGUUCAAGUUUCAAUCACAAUGCUUACCACCCCUAACGUAUUGUCGAAAAUGACACUAUAAUGUCAAAGUCUUCUUUUUCUUUUUGUAUAUGGCUAGGUCUUGGAUAUGUCAAAAAAAGGUUACACAAUUUUACUAAGAAAGAAUUUUGAGUUGGCUGAAAAAUUAAAAGCUACUAGAUUUAUAAAAAUUGGAUCUGUCAAAAGCACUGGACCAGGGUUAAUGCACUGUUUGUACUCCAAAUGAAUGGCGUGAAGUCACCGUUCAAAUGGCGCGAAACAUUUGUUAUGCGCAUCUUUAGGGCCCCGUAACUUCUUUAUUUGUAGAGAUAUUUUCAUGAUUCUUUCACCAAUAUUAUUGGUUUUACUUAUAUUUUUAAAUUUUAUUAAUAGAAAAAAAUUGGCAACUUCUCCAUUGUCGCUCCAUCUGGCAUGGGGCAUCUCAUAUGUGUUGUAUGUUAACAGUAAUACGCCUGUUCUAAAGUUAAGAGAAAAUAAAUAUGAAGACCUGCGUCAACGUAUAACAAAGGUACCUACCAUAAAAUAUUCUUUGUCGUUUUGUAUUUAAUAUAAAAAAUACUAAGAAUAACCAAAUAGAAGUAAUUAUUGGACAUGCAUGAUUGUAUUGUUGAUUGAUAUUUGUCUUGACAUCUCAAUGUGAUUUUUUUAAUUAAUAAAGAUCAGUAAAAGAA
Long non-coding RNA from Ostrinia nubilalis (European corn borer), 3493 nucleotides. RefSeq lists it as uncharacterized. NCBI's taxonomy places the organism in Eukaryota, Metazoa, Arthropoda, Insecta, Lepidoptera, Crambidae. The record is from RefSeq and is a predicted model, not a curated record. The transcript is spliced from 3 exons.